Molecule: long non-coding RNA, 831 nt
Filed under: Phasianus colchicus (ring-necked pheasant)
Lineage: Eukaryota; Metazoa; Chordata; Aves; Galliformes; Phasianidae
Description: lncRNA (ENSPCLG00000003012.1)
Source: RNAcentral
GGGACUUCCUCCUGAAACUGUACUAUGUUAAUGCUUGUCUUUAUGGUGUUCUCCAAGUCUUCAGAAAGUGACGCAUUCUUGGAAGUUUUGAAUGGAUUAAGCAGAAAUGGAUGAGAGGAAUGAAUAUUUUCAAGUCCUACAGUUCACAGAAUUUCAGAGAUACUGAACAAGCUUAGCAGUAAGGAAUGCAUAGAGGGAAGAGGUGCUGAGGCAAAGUUCAGUCUGCUAACCACAGCUUUCAGUGGUGGCAAAUGGAGAAUUCACCAUUGGUAUGGUGAUGCAUGUGGCUCAGGUGAGGCAGAUCUUGUGACUGGGAAUAAUUUGAAGCAAAUCAUCAGAUUUCAGUUUUAUUCUUAAUUCGUGUUUGUUUUGCAGUUCCCAGUGCAGUUUGGCAAACCAGCACUAGGUCAGGCCUCCCAGGGCAGCAUCAGUACAAUGAUCUGCACAGCUCUACUAAUUCCUCAUAACCAUGAGGUGUUUGAUGUAGGUUGCUCUGAAAGUAAUGCCUCCUAUUUAUUUCCGUGGAAACUACAAAGAGUAUAGUAACACUAUUUGAUAGAGCAAAUUCUCAGCUACAGAACUUUAUUUUUCAACAGUCAGCAGCAUUAGCUGUUUAUAUUCAUUGGCCAUGAACAAGACUCUGCAUGCUGUGCUUGUAAAAAUCUGAAGCAGUGGAGGUGUCCCACAGUCACCACUGCUGAAACACAGCAUCCACUGCCUCACCGUCCUCACAUCUGCUGUUUGAUCUCCAUGAACUUUCAGCAAGUGUCGACGAAUGUCAGAGGGUGCUAUUGUUUCCACAUGGAGGAAUUCAAUGACAGACCUUUGCUU